RNAcentral lists this ribosomal RNA (252 nucleotides) under uncultured bacterium. RNAcentral's name for it is "partial 16S ribosomal RNA". It matches the Rfam family "Bacterial small subunit ribosomal RNA", at positions 524 to 776 of the family's 1533-position model. The record is from RNAcentral.
UACGUAGGUGGCAAGCGUUGUCCGGAUUUACUGGGCGUAAAGAGCGCGCAGGCGGUCGUUCAAGUCGCGUGUGAAAGCCCCCGGCUCAACUGGGGAGGGUCACGCGAUACUGAUCGACUCGAAGGCAGGAGAGGGUAGUGGAAUUCCCGGUGUAGUGGUGAAAUGCGUAGAUAUCGGGAGGAACACCAGUGGCGAAGGCGACUACCUGGCCUGUUCUUACGCUGAGGCGCGAAAGCUAGGGGAGCAAACGGG